This 542-nucleotide ribosomal RNA is filed under the name uncultured Micromonospora sp. RNAcentral's name for it is "bacterial SSU rRNA". It matches the Rfam family "Bacterial small subunit ribosomal RNA", at positions 60 to 616 of the family's 1533-position model. Lineage: Bacteria; Bacillati; Actinomycetota; Actinomycetes; Micromonosporales; Micromonosporaceae. The record is from RNAcentral.
AGUCGAGCGGAAAGGCCCUUCGGGGUACUCGAGCGGCGAACGGGUGAGUAACACGUGAGCAACCUGCCCCAGGCUUUGGGAUAACCCCGGGAAACCGGGGCUAAUACCGAAUAUGACCUCUGACCGCAUGGUUGGGGGUGGAAAGUUUUUCGGCUUGGGAUGGGCUCGCGGCCUAUCAGCUUGUUGGUGGGGUGAUGGCCUACCAAGGCGACGACGGGUAGCCGGCCUGAGAGGGCGACCGGCCACACUGGGACUGAGACACGGCCCAGACUCCUACGGGAGGCAGCAGUGGGGAAUAUUGCACAAUGGGCGGAAGCCUGAUGCAGCGACGCCGCGUGAGGGAUGACGGCCUUCGGGUUGUAAACCUCUUUCAGCAGGGACGAAGCGUAAGUGACGGUACUUGCCGAAAAAGCGCCGGCCAACUACGUGCCCAGCAGCCGCGGGUAAGACGUAGGGCGCGAGCGUUUGUCCGGAUUUAUUGGGCGUAAAGAGCUCGUAGGCGGCUUUGUCGCGUCGACCGUGAAAACUUGGGGCUCAACCCC